Molecule: long non-coding RNA, 1799 nt
Organism: Apteryx rowi (Okarito brown kiwi)
Lineage: Eukaryota; Metazoa; Chordata; Aves; Apterygiformes; Apterygidae
Source: Ensembl
GUGCCUCAUUCCAGAGGAAUGCUGGGUAUUCUGUGUCAAAGGAAAAUCCAGCAUUUAUCUCGCCUAGCCAAGAGAGUGGCUUGUCUACUUUUGCCUGAGCUAAUAUUACUGCUUUCCCAGUUAUGUUGCUGCUGCUUCAGAAAAUGGCUGAAUGUUUUAUUUAAGAUGUUGUCUUUUGCUGGCAGGUUGAAGCGGACUCUGUUGCUGAUUUCCUUUCUGAAAGGGCUGAUCAGAGUGGCACCAGGAUCAGCUGAGCUUCAGAAGGUGCUUCUGGAGCUGCAAGCAGAAGGCACAGGGGUCACCUAAAUACAGGGACCAACAGCAACAUGGAUGAGCAUUCCCCUCACACCUUUGGGCUUUGUCAUUUUCAUGAAUUUAAGCCUACUGUUAAUAAUACGGUUCCCAGGGCCAAAAGGCCUUUAGAUUCCCCCGGGGAGGCUCAGGUCCUGCAGGCAGCUAAGAGAGCUUGUGCUUUGAGUCAUCACUGUAGCAUUUCAUGUCCAUCAGAGAAGCUGCUGCUCUGUUCCCCAGAUUCUGCCUGCUUUCAAGGAUCCCCUCAUUUUCUGGAUGAUACUGGCCAUGAUGAGCUUGUUGCCAGUUCUUCUGAGUCAAAGUACAAUGAUGUAGCCAUUUCUCUAGAUACAACCAGAUGUUUUGAUGAUAGUGAGCCAGACGACUCCUUGUUGGAACUGUCAGACAGUGAACAAGGGAAUUCUCCUUUCAAUUACACUGAGGAAGAGAUCCAGGAAAUCUUGGCAGAUGAUUGCUUGGGAUCUGAGCAGUAUACAACUAGAAAAAGCACUGUGAGCCAAAAUGUAAAUGGAGAGAGUGAAAAGGACGUGAGCAGCAGCUGCACUGGGGCAUCAGUCAUCAGUGAAGAUGUAAAGGUAGCAUCAAAGAUCACAGAGAAACCAAAUGUACCUCUGUCUAGGGUGUGUUCUUCAUUUGGUUCUGAAUAUUAUCCUGACCUUGCAAAUGAAACAAUUAAUUCAAAUGUGAACUGUCUACAGUCAGCCCAAGUAACUGACAUGUUGUUUGACCUUGAUAUUCAGGAGCUUCUAAAUCUUAGCCCACUUGAUGCUGACUAUGUAGAUCAGCCUCUGGAGGACAGUCAUUUGGAGGAAACCAAAAGAGAAACUUCACAAGCAAUGAUAAGUGAUUGCCUAGAAUAUGAUAAAAUCAAUGCUAAUAACUUGGUUCUCGGACAAUCUUUAGAAUGGUUGGUGUCUAAAGGGCAGCAUAGCCUGCACGUGGAUCACGUGGGAAAAGCUGUAUUUACAAGCAGAGAUAUGACUAACUUCCGUGGUGGUCCUGCAGAAACUUCCAUGCUCUCUUCUGACCUUGCCUGUGACCAGAGUAAAGCUGAUGAGAGUUCAGCACCUGUGCUGCUGAUAUGUCUCAAGCCAUCUCCUGGGUCCCGACACCAAGAUGUUUCCAAAGCAACAAGCAGCAAUUUUUCAGGGAAAUUUGACCCCUCAGAGGAUGAUGGGGGACAGGAAUCUUCAGAAGCUGAACAGCCAUCAAACAGUGUUAAAUUAAGUGAUACAGCUGUAGGCCAGAUUGGGCAGAAAGAGACAACGGGUGGGAAGAAGCUAGGCAAGGUUAUUCCUGUGCCACAGGUGGAGGAAAGACUAAAACAAGGGGCAAACGUUUCAGAAGCGGAGCUUGAGCGAAAGAAACAUUUGUAUCCAGUAUGUGCCUGCCCAUGUGAAGAAAUCUGUAGAUCCUACACCAGCACAGCCCGAAAAGGUGGAUUUUCAAGAAUGUUUCAGAAAUCCUCUCUAGAAGUGUCUUUUUGA